GUCUCCUGUACUGUUUAGUAUAAACUUGUUCCUAAUGGUUUUUUUUUCCUCCACAGGAUUGUUCCAAAUUUGGCUAUCAGUAAAAUCCUGUCUCGAGAUAAUAAUAAGGUUCGCAUUCUACAGGUAUGAUGUAGAAGAUCUUAUGGAAUGUUAUAAUCAUUUUGCUGACCUUCUACUUUGAUGCAUCUAUUUUCCUCUCUUUGAUCCCUGAAGCCGUCACAGUUGCCAAACUUGAAGUGAUUUUCCCCUUUAAUAUCUUGGAUAUAAUCUUACUUAUAGGCACAUUUUUUCUUUAUCUGCUUUGGUUUUCAUUAACUUGCGAUGCAACCAACAGCUAAAUCUGUACUGAUACAACUAAUGAAAAGCUAGAUGAUAUAAAGGUGUAUGUUUCCCAUUU
This 397-nucleotide long non-coding RNA is filed under the name Phoenix dactylifera (date palm). RNAcentral's name for it is "long non-coding RNA (PDAC_LNC018745)". The record is from RNAcentral. Lineage: Eukaryota; Viridiplantae; Streptophyta; Magnoliopsida; Arecales; Arecaceae.